UUAUAUAUAUUUUCCAAUCCAAAAUAAAUGGAAGAAAUCAAUGGAAUUGAAGAAGAAAUCCAAAACCAGGCUACAGUCAAGGCUCUUUACAAAGCAAUGGCUUCCGGAGAUACCAAACUAGUCUCCGGAAUCUUAGCCACCGACCUUGAGUGGUGGUUCCACGGCCCUCAAAAUUGCCACCACAUGAUGAGGAUGCUCACCGGAGAAGCUCCACACACGGAGUUCAACUUUGAACCCCGAAGUGUUACAACCAUCGAUGAUCAUACAGUGAUCGUUGAGGGUUACGAAGGUGCAAACGUGUAUUGGGUACAUGUUUGGGUUCUAAAAGACGGGUUAAUAACCCGGUUCAGGGAGUAUUUCAAUACGUGGCUCACAGUUAAGGAGUUGAGGGUGAGGCCGGUUGGUUGGCCACUUGGCUGGGCGGGGAAGGAGAACCGGUCCACUGUCUGGCGGAGCCAACCUCGAGAUCUUUUCCGACGGUCGUUACCGGGGCUAAUGCUUGCCAUUUGACAGUGGUUUAAAGUGGCCAACAACUGUGUUUAUAUCAGAAUUAUCUACGAUUGUUGUGACAUGAAAAUAUUUGCCAGAAUUCAACUUCAAUUGUAUUAAAUUUUGGAUCUAUAUUGUGUAUCAUGAAAAAUGCAUUUGGAUUUAUAUUCCAGAAAUGUAUUAUUACCUUUUAUAAUACUAUGUUUAAUGGACUACCAAAAAAACUACGAUAAAAACUAAAGAACUACAUUAAACUAGCUUUAUAAUAUUACUAGUUAUGAAACCCGUAUAUUAUACGGGUUAAUUAAAACAUAAUGUUAAACAGGAGCGAUUAAAUGAAGAGUUAUUUGAAUUCGAAAUAUGAAAUAAGUGAAAAUUAUGAAAAAAAAACAUACAAAAAAUAAAUUAAUUAAAAUUAUGUGUUUAAUUGUUAGACCCGUAUACUAAACGAUUUACUAUAAUAAAAUUUUAAAUACAAAUGUUUAAAGUGUAAAUUUAUUUGAAAUUGAAAUUGAAAUUUCAAAUUUGAAAUUAAUAGUUAUUAUAGUAGGUUAAAUUUAUGGAAACUAAAUUAAUGAUAUAGUGUAAAUGAAUAAUAAAGUAAUUGACAAGUGGAAAAUAAAUAUAUUUCAAAAUUAUGACAAAAUAACAUGUGGCCAAAUAAAUGAGAGAAUGACAAGUGACAAUAACAUUUUCAUUUAUUAAGAUAGAUUAUGUUUGCAUUAUCAUUUUAGAAAAAUGUAGACAUAGUCUCCCUAAUUUGAACUUAUGUUACUUGGAAACAUCAAAUACAUCGUCACAUAUAUAACAUUUUCAUAACUCACAUAUACUCUCAUACAAGAAACUUAAAUAAGAUAAAAUAUCAAUGUAAUUUAUUUUAAUACAAAAAACAAACAAUAUAUUAUAAAAUAUUUGUGCAAGACAACAUAUUCGUCCCAAAUUAGAACAAGGAAGAAUCUUUUCAGGCGGAAGGUAAGAUAAAUAGUAUUCAUCAUAAUUUAAAAUUGCAUUAAAUGUCAACAGUAACAACAUUUUUUUAAUUGUUUCUACUUUUUAUAAAACUAUUUUCUUUUUAAUUAAAAUAUGGUAUUUUAAAAAUUAUCAGUUGUUUUAGUACUAGUUUAUAAUUCAUAUUUAUAAAUCAGUUGUAGGUCCUAUGAAAUAUGUAAGUAUGUAACUAUAUAAUCUCACAUGUAUCUUAAUCCACAGUUAAAAACGAAUUGAGUUAAUCGAGCUCAAACUCAACUAUAGGUCAUAUGAUCGUAUUAUUUUGAGAUUGAGUUCGAAUGCAAACAAAGAGCUCGGAAUAUAUAAUGAAUGUAUCUCAUGCUUAGAAAUGAUUGAUAGUCGGAUUUUUAUCAAGUUUUCAGCUCCUCUAGUAUUUAUAUAUUUUUUUUAAAAGUCCAAUUCAAUAUGUUUUGUUUAAUAUUAUGGAUGUGAUCGAUAAAACUAUUGAUAGUUGGUAGCUAAAAGUUAAUAACCGAAAGUUAUAGUUUUUAUUCUUAUAUGAAUGUUUAGUAAAAUAGUUGAAAAUUUUCAUAACAAAUAUAGUUAUAUGCAAAUAACUUAUCUAAAAUAUGUCACUGAUUAAAAAAGUAAUAAAAUCGGUUUAUAAUUAUAAAAUUAUUUUUAUUAAACGCUACUUAUCAGAUGAAUAAUGAAUUUUAAAUGUUACAAUAUAAGAUGUAAACCCUCCCAUAAAUAGUAAAGUAAAUAUAAAAAAUGUUACAAUAUAAGAUGUAAACUCUGCCAUAUUACCAAAUAAAACUAUAAAUACUAAAUUAUAUAUUAAAAGUUGAUUUGUAGCAUUUUUUUUCACUGUAACAUAGUUAAAUGUAAGUAGCCCCAUAUCCUUGGAAUGGUUGGGUCCUAUUUCGUCACUCUUUCUCUCUCUACACUCUCCUAUAAAACCCCAAGACACCGCCUAUUCCAUUCAACUCACUUCUUUUUUUAUAUAUAUUUUCCAAUCCAAAAUAAAUGGAAGAAAUCAAUGGAAUUGAAGAAGAAAUCCAAAACCAGGCUACAGUCAAGGCUCUUUACAAAGCAAUGGCUUCCGGAGAUACCAAACUAGUCUCGGGAAUCUUAGCCACCGACCUUGAGUGGUGGUUCCACGGCCCUCAAAAUUGCCAUCACAUGAUGAGGAUGCUCACCGGAGAAGCUCCACACACGGAGUUCAACUUUGAACCCCGAAGUGUUACAACCAUCGAUGAUCAUACAGUGAUCGUUGAGGGUUACGAAGGUGCAAACGUGUAUUGGGUACAUGUUUGGGUUCUAAAAGAUGGGUUAAUAACCCGGUUCAGGGAGUAUUUCA
Molecule: long non-coding RNA, 2800 nt
Filed under: Lactuca sativa (garden lettuce)
Lineage: Eukaryota; Viridiplantae; Streptophyta; Magnoliopsida; Asterales; Asteraceae
Description: long non-coding RNA (LSAT_LNC009267)
Source: RNAcentral